UACGGAGGGUGCAAGCGUUAUCCGGAUUCACUGGGUUUAAAGGGUGCGUAGGCGGGUUGGUAAGUCCGUGGUGAAAUCUCCGAGCUUAACUCGGGAACUGCCGUGGAUACUAUCAAUCUUGAAUAUCGUGGAGGUAAGCGGAAUAUGUCAUGUAGCGGUGAAAUGCUUAGAGAUGACAUAGAACACCAAUUGCGUAGGCAGCUUACUACACGAUCAUUGACGCUGAGGCACGAAAGCGUGGGGAGCAAACAGG
Molecule: ribosomal RNA, 253 nt
Filed under: uncultured bacterium
Lineage: Bacteria
Description: partial 16S ribosomal RNA
Rfam family: Bacterial small subunit ribosomal RNA
Source: RNAcentral